Aedes aegypti (yellow fever mosquito) is the source of this 117-nucleotide non-coding RNA. The record is from Rfam. Lineage: Eukaryota; Metazoa; Arthropoda; Insecta; Diptera; Culicidae.
UGCCCAGCAACUCCUAUCCCUACCUCCUCGUGGUACUGGCCGGGGUACGAGUAACCUUGGGGAAGAUCGGGUAACCAACCCCCGGUGUAAACUUUGGUCGUAUGCUGACAGAGAAGG